Molecule: ribosomal RNA, 187 nt
Filed under: uncultured bacterium
Lineage: Bacteria
Description: partial 16S ribosomal RNA
Rfam family: Bacterial small subunit ribosomal RNA
Source: RNAcentral
CUACAUGAAGCUGGAGUUACUAGUAAUCGCAGAUCAGAAUGCUGCGGUGAAUGCGCUCCCGGGUCUUGUACACACCGCCCGUCACACCACGGAAGUUGGGGGCGCCCGAAGCCACUUAGCUAACCCUUUUGGGAAGCGAGUGUCGAAGGUGAAAUCAAUAACUGGGGUGAAGUCGUAACAAGGUACC